Pelobates cultripes (western spadefoot toad) is the source of this 237-nucleotide non-coding RNA. The record is from the annotation of a GenBank genome assembly. NCBI's taxonomy places the organism in Eukaryota, Metazoa, Chordata, Amphibia, Anura, Pelobatidae.
GUGGGCCGAAACGUUGUUUCGAUUUUGCUCCAAUAAAUAUAUUCUAGAGUCAAAUGUGAGGCCAUCUGUGCGACAGCUCCAGCUUGUCGGACAUUGGGUCAUGCAACAGGACAAUGAUCCCAGGCAAAUCUACAACAGAAAGGCUGAAAAAAAAAAAAAGAAUCAAGUUGCAAUGGCACAGUCAAAGUUUAUACCUCAACCCGAUUGAAAUGCUGUGGCGGGCUCUUAAGAGAGCUG